This is a non-coding RNA of Araneus ventricosus, 73 nucleotides long. The record is from the annotation of a GenBank genome assembly. Lineage: Eukaryota; Metazoa; Arthropoda; Arachnida; Araneae; Araneidae.
CUUCACACACAGGGAAUCGAACCCGGGGCUCUUGGGUGAGAGCCAGGUAACCGAAACUCUAGACCAUUUGGAA